This 790-nucleotide ribosomal RNA is filed under the name uncultured bacterium. RNAcentral describes it as "bacterial SSU rRNA". It matches the Rfam family "Bacterial small subunit ribosomal RNA", at positions 28 to 812 of the family's 1533-position model. The record is from RNAcentral.
GAUGAUUUUUAGCGACAGGCUUAACACAUGCAAGUCGAGGGGCAGCGAGGGAGUGGCAACUCUUCUGUCGGCGACCGGCGCACGGGUGAGUAACGCGUAUGCAACCUACCCUUCACAGGGGGAUAACCGGGAGAAAUUCCGACUAAUACCGCAUACGUCCUCCGGGGGCAUCCCCGGGGGAUGAAAGAGUUAUCGGUGAAGGAUGGGCAUGCGUGAUAUUAGGUAGUUGGCGGGGCAACGGCCCACCAAGCCCACGAUAUCUAGGGGUUCUGAGAGGAAGGUCCCCCACAUUGGUACUGAGACACGGACCAAACUCCUACGGGAGGCAGCAGUGAGGAAUAUUGGUCAAUGGACGAGAGUCUGAACCAGCCAAGUCGCGUGAAGGAAGACGGAUCUAUGGUUUGUAAACUUCUUUAGUGCGGGAACAAAGCGGUGUCGUGACGCCGGAUGAGUGUACCGCAAGAAUAAGCAUCGGCUAACUCCGUGCCAGCAGCCGCGGUAAUACGGAGGAUGCGAGCGUUAUCCGGAUUUAUUGGGUUUAAAGGGAGCGCAGGCUGCGGGGCAAGUCAGCGGUCAAAUGUCGGGGCUCAACCCCGGCCUGCCGUUGAAACUGUCCUGCUAGAGUUCGAGUGAGGUAUGCGGAAUGCGUUGUGUAGCGGUGAAAUGCAUAGAUAUGACGCAGAACUCCGAUUGCGAAGGCAGCAUACCAACUCGCGACUGACGCUGAGGCUCGAAAGCGUGGGUAUCGAACAGGAUUAGAUACCCUGGUAGUCCACGCAGUAAACGAUGA